Arachis ipaensis is the source of this 139-nucleotide non-coding RNA. The record is from RefSeq and is a predicted model, not a curated record. Lineage: Eukaryota; Viridiplantae; Streptophyta; Magnoliopsida; Fabales; Fabaceae.
UUAACAAAAAGUAGAUAUUCCAACCACCAAGUAUAAGAGAAACCUGAAAGUGUUGCUAGUGAAAAUCUGAAUUACAGAAAAUAGUUGCUAUGGUUAUCAUGCUCCCUUCCAUGUUCUCAUCAAAUACGCUGUAAUCACU